CCUACGGGUGGCAGCAGUGGGGGAUAUUGCACAAUGGGGGAAACCCUGAUGCAGCGACGCCGCGUGGGUGAAGAAGCGCCUCGGCGCGUAAAGCCCUGUCAGCAGGGAAGAAAAUGACGGUACCUGAAGAAGAAGCCCCGGCUAACUACGUGCCAGCAGCCGCGGUAAUACGGAGGGGGCAAGCGUUAUCCGGAUUUACUGGGUGUAAGGGGGGCGCAGGCGGCGAUGCAAGCCAGGAGUGAAAGCCCGGGGCCCAACCCGGGGACUGCUCGUGGAACUGCGUGGCUGGAGUGCAGGAGGGGCAGGCGGAAUUCCUGGUGUGGCGGUGAAAGGCGUAGAUAUCAGGAGGAAAACCGGUGGCGAGGGCGGCCUGCUGGACUGCAACUGACGUUGAGGCCCGAAAGCGUGGGGAGCAAACAGGAUUAGAUACCCCUGUAGUC
This 440-nucleotide ribosomal RNA is filed under the name uncultured bacterium. Its description in RNAcentral is "partial 16S ribosomal RNA". It matches the Rfam family "Bacterial small subunit ribosomal RNA", at positions 338 to 795 of the family's 1533-position model. The record is from RNAcentral.